RNAcentral lists this ribosomal RNA (563 nucleotides) under uncultured bacterium. RNAcentral describes it as "partial 16S ribosomal RNA". It matches the Rfam family "Bacterial small subunit ribosomal RNA", at positions 355 to 941 of the family's 1533-position model. The record is from RNAcentral.
UGGGGAAUAUUGGACAAUGGGCGCAAGCCUGAUCCAGCCAUGCCGCGUGAGUGAUGAAGGCCCUAGGGUUGUAAAGCUCUUUCACCGGUGAAGAUAAUGACGGUAACCGGAGAAGAAGCCCCGGCUAACUUCGUGCCAGCAGCCGCGGUAAUACGAAGGGGGCUAGCGUUGUUCGGAAUUACUGGGCGUAAAGCGCACGUAGGCGGACAUUUAAGUCAGGGGUGAAAUCCCGGGGCUCAACCCCGGAACUGCCUUUGAUACUGGGUGUCUAGAGUUCGAGAGAGGUGAGUGGAAUUCCGAGUGUAGAGGUGAAAUUCGUAGAUAUUCGGAGGAACACCAGUGGCGAAGGCGGCUCACUGGCUCGAUACUGACGCUGAGGUGCGAAAGCGUGGGGAGCAAAACAGGAUUAGAUACCCUGGUAGUCCACGCCGUAAACGAUGGAAGCCAGCUGUCGGCAAGUUUACUUGUCGGUGGCGCAGCUAACGCAUUAAGCUUCCCGCCUGGGGAGUACGGUCGCAAGAUUAAAACUCAAAUGAAUUGACGGGGGUCAUAGCUGUUUCCUG